This is a long non-coding RNA of Chlorocebus sabaeus (green monkey), 1827 nucleotides long. RefSeq lists it as uncharacterized. The record is from RefSeq and is a predicted model, not a curated record. Lineage: Eukaryota; Metazoa; Chordata; Mammalia; Primates; Cercopithecidae.
UUUAGGCACACAUACACACACACACACACACACACACACCCCUCAUGUAACCACAACCCUGAUCAAGAUACGAAACAUUUCCUACAUCCAGAAUGUGCCAUUGCGUUUCUUCCAGCCAAUACCCCACACUCCAGGUUUAACCACGGUUCCGACCUCUAUCCACCAUGGCUUCUUUUUGCCUGUUCUUGAACUUCAUAUAAAAUAGAAUCCUACGGUGUACUUUUGAACGUCUGGUUUCUUUCAUAUAAAACAUGAUACUUUGAGAUCCAUCCAUGUCAUUUUAGGUAGAUUUUAAAAACUGCAGUUGAAAAUUCUGGAAUAGAAAAUUAUUCCUGGCUUUUAAAAAUAGACACGCCAUGCACAGGAAGGAUGGGGAGAUUUUCUAGGUCAGCAGAGGGUGCAGCGGUGUCUCCUCUGAGACUGGAGAUCUUGAUUCAAGCUGCAGAAUGUGACUGUGUGGCUGAUCCAAAGAUUUUAUGAACGUUUGCAGGAAUUGAAUCACUGCUGCUCAGAAAUUGCCAGGACAUCUGCUUUCCAUCACUGUCCCCAGGGAACCAGGCUCUCUGACAUUGCAGUCACCUCCACCUCUCUCCUUAGCCAUGGCUCUCGAACGCUUUUGGAGACAUUUAGAAAAGGAGUUGACACAGAAGCAUCAUGCUGGAUGAAGACUGCUUUUCAGAAGACUUCGCCAUUCCAGCCUGUUGAGCCUAAGGGUUUCAAACACGUCUCCCCACCCGCCAGUCACUGCUUGUCCUGAUUCAAAGAGACUUGAAUCUAUCCAAGGAGGUGGAUAGAGAGCAGCUUGUCAUUGGUCAGACGUGGUCGUUUUUGCAGUCCAGGCACUGGGACAGAAGCCAGCAAGCAAACUGAUCUCAAAGGAGUUUGGAAUCAAGAACAUGAGCUACUGAGAGAAGAUGAUUGCUUGACCCGAGGUCUCCUAGAAUUGAGUAAAUCAAAGCCACCUUGACUGCAGAGCUACGGUGGCGUGGAGAAGCCACCACUUUGCCAGGAGAGAUGCAGAAGAAUGAAACAGAUGCGGGCAGAGAAGACAAGCCACGUGAUUUCAUUCAAGGUAAGGGAGUAGCUUCAAUCCUGAGUUCAGUUCCAGCCUAGGGCGGCCUAUUUUUCAUGUCCCUGAAUUCUAAGAGCUUCUCUGGAGUAAACUUCAGCUAACUCCCAUGUCUCUUGAGCUAGUUUGAGUUUGAGUGCGUCUCUCUUCCUUGCAAUAAACCUGACAUUAGCUCUGCCUCUCCUGCAGAGUGAACUCCUGGAGCCCCAUGAAGGCUCUUUGACAGUGACCCUCAAAGAAAGAUCUGCAGCCCCCCACAGAGAUGCACAGACCCUUAGGGAUCUGCAAAACUGAGCUAUUCUUAUGAUAAUACUAAGCAUGAUGUUACCAAAUCGUGAAUGGGUAAAAGAUCUAUUCAAAGUGUGAGGUGGGUUUAUGGAUUUAAUGUGACAUAUGAAAAAUUAUUGACACAGUUUGAAAUUUCUCAUUCCAAGUAACAUUUAAGAAAUUACCACUUUUAAGCUUUGGUGUAGUAUCAAAGAAUAUCCGCAAUUAUCUGGAAAGGAGUAUCUAAAAUACUCUUGCCUAUACCAACUACAUAGCUAGUACGGAUGGAUUUUUUCAUGCACUUCAGCUAAAACAACAGAUGGAAUGCGGAAGGAGAGAUGAGAAUAUACUUGGCUUCUGUUGAACCAGAUAUUCAAGAUAUUUUAUUGCUUUAAAUGAAUUCACAAAUACUUUAAUUAAAUAUCGCAGUUUUGGGCCAGGCAUGGUGGCUCACGCCUGUAAUGCCAGCACUUUGGGAGGCCAAGGCGGGC